CCUACGGGAGGCAGCAGUAGGGAAUCUUCCACAAUGGGCGAAAGCCUGAUGGAGCAACGCCGCGUGGGUGAAGAAGGUCUUCGGAUCGUAAAACCCUGUUGUUAGAGAAGAAAGUGCGUGAGAGUAACUGUUCACGUUUCGACGGUAUCUAACCAGAAAGCCACGGCUAACUACGUGCCAGCAGCCGCGGUAAUACGUAGGUGGCAAGCGUUAUCCGGAUUUAUUGGGCGUAAAGGGAACGCAGGCGGUCUUUUAAGUCUGAUGUGAAAGCCUUCGGCUUAACCGGAGUAGUGCAUUGGAAACUGGGAGACUUGAGUGCAGAAGAGGAGAGUGGAACUCCAUGUGUAGCGGUGAAAUGCGUAGAUAUAUGGAAGAACACCAGUGGCGAAAGCGGCUCUCUGGUCUGUAACUGACGCUGAGGUUCGAAAGCGUGGGUAGCAAACAGGAUUAGAUACCCCAGUAGUC
RNAcentral lists this ribosomal RNA (465 nucleotides) under uncultured bacterium. Its description in RNAcentral is "partial 16S ribosomal RNA". It matches the Rfam family "Bacterial small subunit ribosomal RNA", at positions 338 to 795 of the family's 1533-position model. The record is from RNAcentral.